ACCGUAAACAAUUAAUUUACACCAAUCAGCGCCAGGGAAUUACGAGCAAUGCUUAAAACCCAAAGGACUUGACGGUGUCCCACCCAACUAGAGGAGCCUGUUCUAUAAUCGAUAAUCCCCGCUACACCCGACCAUUUCUUGCUUUCAGUCUGUAUACCUCCGUCGAAAGCUUACCAUGUGAACGCCUACAGUAAGCCCAAUGAUUUACACAUCAACACGUCAGGUCAAGGUGCAGCUUAAGAAGUGGGAAGCAAUGGGCUACAAUUUCUAAUUUAGAACAAACGAAAGAUUAUGUGAAAUCAUAUUCUGAAGGUGGAUUUAGCAGUAAAAAGAAAAUAGAGUGUUCUUUUUAACCCGGCUCUGGGACGCGUACACACCGCCCGUCACCCUCUUCGAUAGUAAAAUACUCUGUUCCUAACUCACUAUUACGCCUUAGAAGAAGCAAGUCGUAACAUGGUAAGUGUACUGGAAAGUGCACUUGGUAUA
RNAcentral lists this ribosomal RNA (486 nucleotides) under Lithobates zweifeli (Zweifel's frog). RNAcentral's name for it is "Rana zweifeli (Zweifel's frog) partial 12S ribosomal RNA". It matches the Rfam family "Bacterial small subunit ribosomal RNA", at positions 799 to 1533 of the family's 1533-position model. The record is from RNAcentral. Lineage: Eukaryota; Metazoa; Chordata; Amphibia; Anura; Ranidae.